RNAcentral lists this long non-coding RNA (1539 nucleotides) under Oreochromis niloticus (Nile tilapia). Its description in RNAcentral is "lncRNA (ENSONIG00000040410.1)". Lineage: Eukaryota; Metazoa; Chordata; Actinopteri; Cichliformes; Cichlidae. The record is from RNAcentral.
AUGCUUAGCCUUGUCCAACCCAGCUGUAAAACUCAGAAACCAGUCUUACUUGUUAUCAUCUAUCGUCCACCUGGGCCUUACACAGAGUUUCUCUCUGAUUUCUCAGACUUUUUAUCUGAUUUAGUGCUCAGCUCAGAUAAAAUAAUUAUUGUGGGUGAUUUUAACAUCCAUGUAGAUGCUAAAAAUGACAGCCUCAACAUGGCAUUUAAUCUGUUAUUAGACUCAAUUGGCUUCUCCCAAAAUGUAAAAGAACCCACCCACCACUUUAAUCACACUCUAGAUCUUGUUUUAACAUAUGGCAUAGAAACUGAAGAUUUAACAGUGUUUCCUGAAAACCCUCUGCUGUCUGAUCAUUUCCUGAUAACAUUUACAUUUACAAUAAUUGAUUACACAGCAGUGGAGAGUAGACUUUAUCAAAGUAGAUGUCUUUCUGAAAGUGCUGUAACUAAGUUUAAGAAUAUAAUCCACCCACUGUUAUCAUCUUCAAUGCCCUGUACCAACAUAGAGCAGAGCAGCUAUCUGAACGCUACUCCAACAGAGGUCGAUCAUCUUGUUAAUAAUUUUACCUCCUCACUACGUACGACUCUGGAUACUGUAGCUCCUGUGAAAACUAAGGCCUCAAAUCCGAAGUACCUGACUCCGUGGUAUAAUUCUCAAACACGUAGCCUAAAGCAGAUAACUCGUAAGCUGGAGAGGAAAUGGCGUGUCACAAAUUUAGAGGAUCAUCAUUUAGCCUGGAGAAAUAGUUUGUUGCUUUAUAAGAAAGCCCUCCGCAAAGCCAGAACAUCUUACUAUUCGUCACUGAUUGAAGAAAAUAAGAACAACCCCAGGUUUCUCUUCAGCACUGUAGCCAGGCUGACAAACAGUCAGAGCUCUAUUGAGCCAACAAUCCCUUUAACGUUAACUAGUAAUGACUUCAUGAACUUCUUCACAAAUAAAAUUUUUAUCAUUAGAGAAAAAAUUACCAAUAAUCAUCCCACAGAUGUAAUAUUAUCUACAGCUACUUUUAGUACCAUUGAUGUUAAGUUAGACUCUUUUUCUCCAACUGAUCUUUCUGAGUUAACUUCAAUAAUUAAUUCCUCCAAACCAUCAACGUGUCUUUUAGACCCCAUUCCUACAAAACUGCUCAAAGAAGUCCUGCCAUUAAUUAAUGCUUCAAUCUUAAAUAUGAUCAACCUAUCUCUAAUAAUCGGCUAUGUACCACAGGCCUUCAAGCUGGCUGUAGUUAAACCUUUACUUAAAAAGCCAUCUCUAGACCCAGCUGUCUUAGCUAAUUAUAGGCCAAUCUCCAACCUUCCUUUCAUAUCAAAAAUCCUUGAAAGAGUAGUUGUCAAACAGCUAACAGAUCAUCUGCAGAGGAAUGGCUUAUUUGAAGAGUUUCAGUCAGGUUUCAGAGCUCAUCACAGCACAGAAACAGCUUUGGUGAAGGUUACAAAUGAUCUUCUUAUGGCCUCUGACAGUGGACUCAUCUCUGUGCUUGUCCUGCUAGACCUCAGUGCUGCGUUUGAUACUGUUGAUCAUAAUAUCCUAUUAGAGUGA